GACGAACGCUGGCGGCGUGCUUAACACAUGCAAGUCGAACGGAAAGGCCAUGCUUUUUUGGGGUGCUCGAGUGGCGAACGGGUGAGUAACACGUGAGUAUCAUGUCCUUGACUUUGGGGUAACUUCAGGAGACUGGGGCUAAAAUAGGGUAGGAGCUACUGCAGCACGGUGGGGGUUGGAAAGUUUCGGCGGUUGGGGCUGGACUAGCGGCUUAUCAGCUUGAUGGGGGGGUAGUGGCUGACCACGGGUUUGACGGGUAGCCGGCCUGGGAGGGCGACCGGCCUCCAUGCGACUGCGAUACGGCCCAGUCUGCUACGGGACGCAGCGGUCGGGAGUCUUGCGCAACGGGCGCACGUCUGUUGCGGCAGCCCCGCGUGCGUGAUGAUGUCCUUCGGGUUGUAAACCGCUUUCUCCUUUAACGAAGCGUUAUUGACGGUACUUGGUAAAGAAGCACCGGCUAACUACGUG
Molecule: ribosomal RNA, 468 nt
Filed under: uncultured bacterium
Lineage: Bacteria
Description: partial 16S ribosomal RNA
Rfam family: Bacterial small subunit ribosomal RNA
Source: RNAcentral